RNAcentral lists this signal recognition particle RNA (306 nucleotides) under Phascolarctos cinereus (koala). Its description in RNAcentral is "Metazoan signal recognition particle RNA (ENSPCIG00000034643.1)". It matches the Rfam family "Metazoan signal recognition particle RNA". Rfam says of the family: The signal recognition particle (SRP) is a universally conserved ribonucleoprotein. It is involved in the co-translational targeting of proteins to membranes. The record is from RNAcentral. Lineage: Eukaryota; Metazoa; Chordata; Mammalia; Diprotodontia; Phascolarctidae.
UCUGUGUGAUGGUGCAGACCUCUAAUCCUCACUACCUGGGGAGGCUGAGGCUGGUAGAUCAUUUGACCAAGGAAGUUCUGAACUUCAAUCAGUGCUAAAGCCGAUCUGGUGUCUGCACUAAGUCUGGCACCAAUAUGGUGUGCUCCUGGGAGCAGGGGUGAGGAUACCAGGCUGCCAAAGGAGGGCAAACUGGCCCGAGCUGGAAAUGGUGCAGGUCAAAGCUUCCAUGCCAAUUAGCAAUGGGAUUGGCUCCUGAGAGGCUGCUGCACUUCCAGCCUGGGAGAGAUAGGGAGAGACUCAGUCUCA